AGGGNGCAGCCUGACCAGCCAUGCCGCGNNGCAGGAUGACGGUCCUAUGGAUUGUAAACUGCUUUUAUACGAGAAGAAACACUCCUUCGUGAAGGAGCUUGACGGUAUCGUAAGAAUAAGGAUCGGCUAACUCCGUGCCAGCAGCCGCGGUAAUACGGAGGAUCCAAGCGUUAUCCGGAAUCAUUGGGUUUAAAGGGUCCGUAGGCGGUUAGAUAAGUCAGUGGUGAAAGCCCAUCGCUCAACGGUGGAACGGCCAUUGAUACUGUUUAACUUGAAUUAUUAGGAAGUAACUAGAAUAUGUAGUGUAGCGGUGAAAUGCUUAGAGAUUACAUGGAAUACCAAUUGCGAAGGCAGGUUACUACUAAUGGAUUGACGCUGAUGGACGAAAGCGUGGGUAGCGAACAGGAUUAGAUACCCUGGUAGUCCACGCCGUAAACGAUGGAUACUAGCUGUUGGGAGCAAUCUCAGUGGCUAAGCGAAAGUGAUAAGUAUCCCACCUGGGGAGUACGUUCGCAAGAAUGAAACUCAAAGGAAUUGACGGGGGCCCGCACAAGCGGUGGAGCAUGUGGUUUAAUUCGAUGAUACGCGAGGAACCUUACCAAGGCUUAAAUGUAGUUUGACCGAUUAGGAAACUAGUCUUUCGCAAGACAAAUUACAAGGUGCUGCAUGGUUGUCGUCAGCUCGUGCCGUGAGGUGUCAGGUUAAGUCCUAUAACGAGCGCAACCCCUGUUGUUAGUUGCCAGCGAGUCAAGUCGGGAACUCUAACAAGACUGCCAGUGCAAACUGUGAGGAAGGUGGGGGAUGACGUCAAAUCAUCACGGCCCUUACGCCUUGGGCUACACACGUGCUACAAUGGACGGUACAGAGAGCAGCCNCUACGUGAGUAGGAGCGAAUCUAUAAACCCGUUCUCAGUUCGGAUCGA
This 923-nucleotide ribosomal RNA is filed under the name uncultured bacterium. RNAcentral describes it as "bacterial SSU rRNA". It matches the Rfam family "Bacterial small subunit ribosomal RNA", at positions 373 to 1301 of the family's 1533-position model. The record is from RNAcentral.